AGCGAACGCUGGCGGCAGGCUUAACACAUGCAAGUCGAACGGAGUGCUUCGGCACUUAGUGGCGGACGGGUGAGUAACACGUGGGAACGUGCCCUUGGGUACGGGAUAACGCAGGGAAACUUGCGCUAAUACCGUAUGUGCCGGAAACGGAAAAGAUUUAUCGCCCUUGGAGCGGCCCGCGUCUGAUUAGCUAGUUGGUGGGGUAAAGGCCCACCAAGGCGACGAUCAGUAGCUGGUCUGAGAGGAUGGCCAGCCACAUUGGGACUGAGACACGGCC
This 277-nucleotide ribosomal RNA is filed under the name uncultured bacterium. Its description in RNAcentral is "partial 16S ribosomal RNA". It matches the Rfam family "Bacterial small subunit ribosomal RNA", at positions 29 to 331 of the family's 1533-position model. The record is from RNAcentral.